This 468-nucleotide ribosomal RNA is filed under the name uncultured bacterium. Its description in RNAcentral is "partial 16S ribosomal RNA". It matches the Rfam family "Bacterial small subunit ribosomal RNA", at positions 28 to 507 of the family's 1533-position model. The record is from RNAcentral.
GACGAACGCUGGCGGCGUGCUUAACACAUGCAAGUCGAACGGAAAGGCCCUGCUUUUGUGGGGUGCUCGAGUGGCGAACGGGUGAGAAACACGUGAGUCACCUGCCCUUGACUUUGGGAUAACUUCAGGAAACUGGGGCUAAUACAGGAUAGGUGCUCCUGCUGCAUGGUGGUGGUUGGAAAGCUUCGGCGGUUGGGGAUGGACUUGCGGUUUAUCAGCUUGUUGGUGGGGGAGUGGCAUACGCAGGCUUUGACGGGUAGCCGGCCUGGGAGGUGGGCCAGCCACAUUGGGACUGAGAGACGGCCCAGACGCCUACGUGAGGCAGCAGGGGGGAAUAUUGCACAAUGGGCGGAAGUCUGAGGCAGCAACGCCGCGUGCGGGAUGACGGCCUUCGGGGGGUAAACCGCUGUCGCCUGUGACGAAGCGGGAGUGACGGUAAUGGGUAAAGAAGCACCGGCUAACUACGUG